Molecule: long non-coding RNA, 2244 nt
Filed under: Parus major (Great Tit)
Lineage: Eukaryota; Metazoa; Chordata; Aves; Passeriformes; Paridae
Description: lncRNA (ENSPMJG00000010851.1)
Source: RNAcentral
AUUGAGCAGGUGGGUGAGAGCCUGGAAGGAAGGGCGAGCCCAGAAAUAGAAGUAUUUGUCCCUUGCAAAAGUCUUGGUUGUUUUAAGAAGAGAUUGGCAAAGCUUUUAGACUGGGUUUGCCCUGCAGCUUGCCCUGCCUGGGUGCUGGUGUGUCUGGGGGAGCUGUGCCCACAUUCUCCUCAGUGUCAGACCCUGACCAGCUCAGGAGGGCUGAGUCAAGGCAUUUUUUGCUGUAAUUCCUGUGUUCCCUGCAGUGGAGGCUCCGGGGUCAAGGUGAGGCAAGAUGCAUCCUGCCCGGGGUGCUCUGGGGUGGAGCUGCAGCUCUGGAAAUCAUCGAGUCUUCCCUGCCUCGGAGUAAAUACCACUUUGUUGGAGAUCCGGAAAUUCAUACUGAAUAUGAUAAACAAACUGCUGGUUGGGCUGGGAUUGCCAGGACAUGAAAAGAGUUCCAGAGCAGCAGAAGAUCUAACAGCUCUGAAAUGCACCACUGAGCCACACCAAUUAAGAGCAUUUCCAGUGAUUAUGUGAGCAUUCCUGUUCAACUCACAGAAAUUAUUUUAGGUUGUUUCUUCCGCUGCAUUUGUGUGUGGUCUGCACAGCAAACACGAGGUUUGCAGAGUGGGCUCAAAUGCUUCUGAUCAGUUUCUUUUAAAAUAUUUCUAUGAUAAUGUAUAUGCAAAAACUGAGUUUCCUGCUAAUUCCAGAUCUUUAAUUUUCUAUGUUAUGGUUGCCCUUUCAGAUAUAACUAAUUUUUUAGUUUAUAUAGACAAUGUAUUUUUAGAGAUGGCCUGUAGGAUAUAAAAACUUAAUCCUUUGUUUAAUAUCUCUUACAUAUGGGAGGUGGCUCUACUGUUCAGUCAGACUAUGCACAAGUUGUAUUUCACCAGACAUGUAGGAGCUGAGAAGAGAAUUGGGAAAUUAUUUCUGACUGAACAUCUGAAUGUCAGCCCCUUCUGAUAAGCACAGUGCUCUUCCUUCUAAAUCAUUCUAAAUCCUCCAUUUGAAUGCUUUCCUACUACUAUUUCAGUCACUUUGUCAGGAAUUAAAAUGUUAUAUUACUGUGAAAGAUCAGACUCUCCUGUUCUAUAGAUGAAUAAUAACCAUUUUUGACAGAAUUAUUUAAUAAUUAUAUUCUCAAUAUCAUUAUCCUGUUACAUGCUACUUAGAUUACAGUCUUAGUUGAAAAGUGCUCUUUAAUUAUCCUUUCCUUAUAAUUUCUUCUAGAGAUGUUUGUAUUCCUGGGGAGCAGGAUCAGUCUGGCUUCUGCCACUGUCUGGACUGGUGUAGUUUCUGUUAAACCAUUUUCCUCAGUGCUGGUGAGGUGCAGGUGUGAGGCAAAGCCUGGCACACUUAUUUUGCAGUUAUCAGUUUCUGCUUUUGCUAUCUCUAUUUGGCUGUCACAGAAACAUGAAGAGAGAACAAAACUCAGAGUUAAAGAAUAGGUGUGGCAUUUUUACCAUGAAUAUAAUGCUGUAAAAAUUAACUAAGGCCUUGUUCUUGUCUGGUGGUGUGUAAUGACUGAAAUUAAUGUUUUUCCAUUGGGAAAGGGGGAGAAAUUAUUCUGGAAAUUGAUGACUUUUAUUCACCCACCUACUGAAAUCUAGUGUGUACAGGACUUAACAGAAAACUCAGUGAUUAAUAGCCUUGGGUUUAGUACAGUAUCUUUUAUGUGGACAGUUUAUACAUAUUAAAAUCUUUUAAAAAGCGAGAAUUACCUUUUAUACCUUUGGAUCUGAUCAUCUGAGUGACAAGUUAGUGACACCACUCAUGCUGAGGCAGUUAGCAAGGGCUAAUUAUUGAUGGCAUGGUCCUACCACUUGUUUCCUGGGAGUUGUCUUACUGAUUUCAAUCUGGUGAUUGAGAUGGGGGGAAAAAGCAGGAGGAUUCCCAGCUGAGAGUAGCAGUACUUGAGAAUUAUUAUUUUUUGCUUGACAAAUCCCUGUCUGAUAAUUUUCACACUGCACAGUUUUUGAUGAGGUGUUUGGGACAUGGGGGAGGAUUCCUUCUCCUGCAGAGUGAUGAUGAGGCCAUAGAAGUGAUCAGGAUGUGAAUUAGAUCUGGUCAGAACCAAUACAGAUGUAUUCACACCUUGUUCUCUAAACCCCUGUCCCUCUCUCACCUUUCUGCCACCAGCAUGGCCAGCAUCAAUCCCCCAGAUGCUCUCAAGUGCCUGAAAUUCCUAAGACUUUAUGAGGAGCAGAAUUACGUUUUCUGUAAACAAAAUAAAAAUCUGAACUAUGCACA